AGCAUAUGCUUAUCUUUGAGAUUAAGCCAUGCAUGUCUAAGUAUAAGUUAUAUACCGCGAAACUGCGAAUGGCUCAUUAAAACAGUUAUAGUAUAUUUGAUGAUGUUUUUAUAUGGAUAACCGUUGGGAAACCAGAGCUAAUACAUGCUUAAAGACUUUCGGGUUGUAUUUAUUAGCUAUAAACCAAUGCCUUAGGGCUUUGUGAGGAAUCAUAAUAACUGAUCGAAGCGCACUUGUGUGUGCUAAAUCUUUCUAGUUUCUGCUCUAUCAGUUUUGAUGGUAGUGUAUUGGACUACCAUGACUAUCACGGGUAACGGAGAAUUAGGGUUCGAUUCCGGAGAGGGAGCCUGAGAAACGGCUACCACAUCCAUGGUAGGCAGCAGGCGCGUAAAUUACCCAAUCCUGAUUCAGGGAGGUAGUUACGAGAAAUAUGGGAUCGGCAAAUGCCGAGGUUCAACUGGACUGAAUUUAAACCAUUCUAUGAAUACGAUUGGAGGGCAAGUCUGGUGCCAGCAGCCGCGGUAACUCCAGCUCCAAUAGUGUAUCUUAACGUUGUUGCAGUUAAAAAGCUCGUAGUUGAAUUUCUGGUUAGUUGAUUACUCUCAGGAGUGAUCUGACUAAUCAUCCGCGUUAGAAACUAGCCAGGUAUUUAUUUACCAGUUAGUGAAAGGCGCAUUUUACUUUGAAGAAAUUAGAGUGUUCCAAGCAAGCUUUGCAUGAAUAUUACAGCAUGGAAUAAUGGAAUAGGACAGAGUCAAUUUUAUUGGUUAUUCGACUUUGUAAUGAUUAACAGGGACAGUUGGGGGCAUUCGUAUUCAGUUGUCAGAGGUGAAAUUCGUAGAUUAACUGAAGACGAACUAAUGCGAAAGCAUUUGCCAAGGAUGUUUUCAUUAAUCAAGAACGAAAGUUAGGGGAUCGAAGACGAUUAGAUACCGUCGUAGUCCUAACUAUAAACUAUACCGACUAGGGAUUGGCAUAGGGAAGACCUAUGUCAGCACCUAAUGAGAAAUCAAAGUCUUUAGGUUCUGGGGGGAGUAUGUUCGCAAGAAUGAAACUUAAAGGAAUUGACGGAAGGGCACCACCAGGAGUGGAGCCUGCGGCUCAAUUUGACUCAACGCGGGGAAACUUACCAGGGCAAGACCUGAGAAUGAUUGACAAUUUGAGAGCUUUUUCUUGAUUACAGGGAUGGUGGUGCAUGGCCGUUCUUAGUUGGUGAAGUGAUUUGUCCGGUUAAUUCCUUUAACAAACGAGACCUUAACCUGCUAAACUAGAAGCGCUUAUUUUAGGCGUUUUCUUCUUAGAGGGACUAUGAUUCAAAAUUCAUGGAAGUUUGAGGCAAUAACAGGUCCGUGAUGCCCUUAGACGUUCUGGGCCGCACGUGUGCUACACUGACUCACGCAACAAGUUUUUGACCUAACCCGAAAGGGGACGGGAAAUCUUUUUAAUAUGAGUCGUGCUAGGGAUUGAUCUUUGCAAUUUUGGAUCAUGAACGAGGAAUUCCUAGUAGGCAUAAGUCAUCAUCUUGUGCCGAUUACGUCCCUGCCCUUUGUACACACCGCCCGUCAU
This 1566-nucleotide ribosomal RNA is filed under the name Isochona sp. OOSW-4. RNAcentral describes it as "SSU rRNA". It matches the Rfam family "Eukaryotic small subunit ribosomal RNA". The record is from RNAcentral. Lineage: Eukaryota; Ciliophora; Phyllopharyngea; Exogemmida; Isochonidae.